AUUGAACGCUGGCGGCAGGCCUAACACAUGCAAGUCGAACGGCAGCACAGAAGAGCUUGCUCUUUGGGUGGCGAGUGGCGGACGGGUGAGUAAUGUCUGGGAAACUGCCCGAUGGAGGGGGAUAACUACUGGAAACGGUAGCUAAUACCGCAUAACGUCGCAAGACCAAAGUGGGGGACCUUCGGGCCUCACACCAUCGGAUGUGCCCAGAUGGGAUUAGCUAGUAGGUGGGGUAAUGGCUCACCUAGGCGACGAUCCCUAGCUGGUCUGAGAGGAUGACCAGCCACACUGGAAGUGAGACACGGUCCAGACUCCUACGGGAGGCAGCAGUGGGGAAUAUUGCACAAUGGGCGCAAGCCUGAUGCAGCCAUGCCGCGUGUAUGAAGAAGGCCUUCGGGUUGUAAAGUACUUUCAGCGGGGAGGAAGGCGGUGAGGUUAAUAACCUUGCCGAUUGACGUUACCCGCAGAAGAAGCACCGGCUAACUCCGUGCCAGCAGCCGCCGUAA
Molecule: ribosomal RNA, 506 nt
Filed under: uncultured bacterium
Lineage: Bacteria
Description: partial 16S ribosomal RNA
Rfam family: Bacterial small subunit ribosomal RNA
Source: RNAcentral